UUCUCAACGGAGAACCAUGCACCUGCGCAUGCGCCGCUCUCACCCCCAGCGGCGAAUUGCAUCUGCGCAGGCGCAGAGCGAUUCGCACGGCUCGUUUCCCAUCCUCCUCCGCGGCCAGGGCGCGCGGCCGAGAACGUUUCCCGGCGACCCGGGGCUAGACAAGGUGGAGCGCGGUGCUGGAGGGCAAUGUGGCCUUGGGUCUAGGCGGCGCCCGGCAAAGUCUAUUAAGUGUUGAGGAAGAGUCAGGGUGAGUUUAGGGCGCCGCCGCAGUUCUAAGUUGAAGUUUGUGUUCAUCACGGUUCACACAGGAAACGUGUGCGGAUUCAUUGGGAGCCCCCUCAGAGUGCACCUGUGUGAGGAGCCGACGAGUAAACGGAGGCACAAAACGCCGCCAGGCCGGGCAGGAGAGCUUCCUUCUGGAGAUGGUUGCGAGCGGGUUGAGGCCUGGAGCGACGUCGGGGACGCCCAGCGCCUGCCAAGGCCGCGGUGAUGCCCACCCUCUCCAGCCGGGCUGUCAGUGUGCAUAGGAACAGCAAGAUCGCACAGGCUGUGAGAGAGUGACAUGGUGGCAGCCUGGUGGCAGCCCCCUGAGAAGCUUGCAUUUUACCAGCUUCCUGCGCAGUGUCGUUGGUGAGCUGAGGCCCCUGCGAAGAUCAGCACCUCUUCAUAGAGCUCAGAGGAGGGGGAAGGAGCCGGUCCCCCCUGCAUUUGCGUAGGCUGCCUCUAUUGCCCGCCACGACUUCAGCGGUCUUUGGAUGAUGGGGAGCCAGACCAACAAGGCCACCUACCUCAAGCUACUCUGGCCUUCGCCAGAGGACCAGAUGGAAGGUGCUGUGCUGGACUCAUUCCUGGUCUCCUGAGGCCAUCUCUGCUCCUGCCUGAAGCCCCUGUCCACGGCUACAGCUGGUGGCUUGUCGUAGCCAGUGCCGUCCUGCUUUACCUCUGCGCUGGGGGAGGGGCAUUGACCCCUGACGGGCAGCUGUGUGCGUAUGCAGGCCGCAGGGGAGGCCGUCUGGAAAGGCAGCCUCAGAAGGAUUUGUGAUGUGGAGACUGAGUGAGGAGCCUGGCCCAGUGUCAGUAGCCUGUUCCUUUACUCAUUCAUCAAGAGGACCUAGUCAGGCUCCCCUUGUGUGAGAUGCUCACACUUAGAUGGGGACAGCCAGAGCAGCCGAAGAGAUUGGAACAUCUAAAGCCAUUCUGUCAAGAAGGCCCCUGUCUGACAUUCAUCUUUUCAUUCAGCAAGUACUUGGUGAGCACCUGCUAUGGGGCCAGCCUUGUCUACAUGAUGCUAUAUACGCCCAGCUCUUGUGCGACUUAGCCCAGUAGGAUGAGGUUGACCAUAACAACGUGUGUUAGAUGUGAUGGUGGCAAGAAAAUCAGGAUAAAGGAGAUAGAGUCAUGGAAGAAAACCUGCUACUUAAGUAGGAUGCUAUGGUAGGGUGACAUCUGGGCAGAGGCUUAAGUGAAGGGAGGGACAAGCCGUGUAGCCAUCUGGAGGCAGAGCACUCAGGUAGAGGAACAGUGCAAAGGCCCUGAGGUGGGAGGCCCUUUGGAAACAUGUUGAAACUGUCAGUGUGAAAUUAUAAUGUCUGUAGAGAAGCCCUGUGGCAGGUACUUACAUUUCUUGUCAGAAACCAGCAUCAUCUCUCUGGCCAAGGGUGGUAUAGCCCCCAGAAAGGAAACAGGCCUGGAGCUGAAAGUCCUCCAGGAGCGAGGUUAAGAAGCCUGAGCCAAGGACAUGUGUGCAUGUUCUCUGAGGAGGCGUAGAACAGGCUUAUAGAAUACAGGACUGCUGUGUCCUGGUGUUGUGCUGUCUUCUUUUAAGACAAAUACCGUAGGCUUCAGACGGGAUACAGAGGUCGUGAGUCCCACAGUCUUGGUCGAGCAGAGAGGCAUGCUGUCUCACUGGCUGGCGUACCUCUACACAGGACAUUUGUAGCUCGGAGUUGUCCAUGUGGCCUGAUAGUUAGACCAGCUUGCCUAGUUAUCAGCCUACAAACUUUCCAGCUCCUCACUUCAGUGACUCUUUCCAAGUAAUGAAAACAGGCUUCUUCUGGCCAUGGAGUAGCUCACAGCAGACCAAUGCCUCCCGAAGACUCAGGAACUGGCCAUAAUUCACAAAGCGUCUGCUUGAAGGACCAGAGCACUGCCCUGGCACCGACGACUCAGAGGGGAGCUUGAAGAGGUGAGCCCUACUUCCUACAUUGGCUUCUCCCCUUAGGGCUGGGCAGGGGUGGCUGCUAAGAGGCAGAGAAGCCAGAGGAGGUCCGUGUAAUCUCGUGGGGCUGGGGAGACUGAGCUGGGGAUAUGGGCCUGAGGCAGUGGGGCUGGAGGGCUGAGAUCCUUGAAAGGAAGGAGACCAGAGAAGCUGAAAGUGGCUGAAAAGCAGAGCUGGGUUUUUGGCAGUUUCCUGCUGCUAGGGAAGAGUUCAGAGCCUGCCAAGGAGGAAUGGCCCUAAGAAAUACCAGACUCUUGGCUGGGACCUUUGGGGACCCCAGGUGAUUGGGCUUUGCAAGGACUGCAGAAUGAGCUCAGUGUCAGCUGAGUCCCCAGCUGGCCUGAGGUGGCCUGGCCCCUCUGCUGCCCACCCUGGAGGGAGACAUCGUACCAUUCCUCUGCUGGUCCAUCAAAUUACUAGGCAUACUGAGAAACAGGACGGGGGGCAAAAGUUGGUAGACCCACAGGAGAUUAAGAUACUGGAGUAGCAGAUAUGGACUUUAAAGUAAGUUAUUAACAUAUUAAAGAAAAUAGGUAAGAUGAAGAGUUUCAUAGAGAAUUAGAAUUCAUAAAAGAUUAAAUGAAAAUUCUGAAAGGGAAAGUACAAUAACUGAAAUUUAAAAUUCAGUAGGUGGAUUUUACAGUAGAUGAGACAGCAGAAGAGAGGAUUAGUGAGCUGGAAGACAGAGCAAUAGAAAGUACCUCUGCAAACACCACCAGGACCAGCUCACUCUAUCCUGUGAGCUUCCUUCUCCUUGCUUGUCUUGGGCAGGCCUGCUGAGAAGGCUCUUUGUGCUUGGGAAUUUGGGGGACACUCCCCAUUGCAGCCUUGUUGGAAACAUCAUCAGAACGUGGGGAGUCUAGUCAGUGGAGCUCUAUGACUAAUGAAAUCUUUAAGGGCCUCAGGUCCGUCAGCAGGACGUGAGCUUGUUUGUGCUCAUGGGCCCAGGCUAAAGGUAUGCUAAUCUCUCCAACAUACUCCUUGAAAAUGUCUUUUUAAACAAUUCCCUUUUCAUUGGCUUCUCUCCUGAAAGAAGAGUGCAGAAAAGUGCACUUUUGAGGGGCAGGGAAUCAGGUGGGGAACCAAGGGAGGCUUGUCUGUGAUUUGCAAAGGGCAAGCACACUGCUUCUCAGGCUCCCAGACCGAGUGCCACCUGUUCCACAACGGGGUGAGGGAGCAGGGCCCAGGCUGUGAAGGGCGUGACUGUGAAACUGGUUGUGGAUUGUAGCAAUUCAUAGGCAUGUUGUUCUGAGAAAUUUUCCAUCCUGGGUUAAUGGUUUCCUUAUAAUGAACAGAAAUAAAUUCAUGAGGGAUGGUGAGCUGUGGUGGGAUCAUGGGUCAAGGCCAGCGGCUGAGCGGACAGAUGACUGCUGACCUGCAUAGGCUGUCUGACAUGGGUUAAUGCAGUGUUGUUGCAAAGACAUUGGCCCUUUAUCUCCAGUAAAGGGUGGAAGCCUCUUUGUCCUCUAAAGCGCUCUGUCUGUGGGUGCAGCAACCACCCCUCCCGAGGGGAGAGAUGGAGUCUGGGUGGAGUCUGGCUGGAGGGAGGGGGGGCAUGUCUGAGGGGCCACAAUAGCCACUGGCUCCUGGGAGCUUCUGGUCAGCUCAAGCUGAGUGCCCAGAGGCCACCUGGAUGCUCCUUAGUGUCUCCUGUGCUUCAGGACAGAAGGCCGUGCUGGGUUCUCUGUGGAUGUUCAUGAGGAAGGGACGUUCUCUCACGUGGGAGGUUGGGGGCAGGAGAUGAGGAGCAGGUGAGCACGGAGCCCCGCUUGCUCGUUCAGCCUCUGCCUCCCAGGCUUUGAGGCCUGGGCAGUUUGAUGGAUGAGAUAGAUGAGGUCCCUACUCCUGGGCAGCUGGUGUUCUAGUCCAGAGGCCAGCCUUAAAUGAGUAUAAGCAAGUAAGAGCAGACACUAAAACAAAGAAAACAAGGGUCAUGGAAAAGAUGACACUGGGACCAUGCUGGUGGCAGGGACUGGGUGGGCAGAGGACGACCUCCCUGAAGAGGGGUUGGUGAGCUGAAACUGGGACAGAACAAGGCGGCCACUCAGGGGCAGAGCGGAGGUUCUGAGUUAGAACCACACAGGUCCUGAUAGGCGCCAGCUUUUCUCUUGAGGACAAUGAGAAACCAAUGACAGAUUUUAAGCAGGAGAAUCUGAUCACACAUUCACAGGAUGUGCUGGCACCGGCCGAGGCUUGGAUUGUGGCGCGGUUUUCUGGGAGCAGGGAGACCAAUGGGCAGCUUUGCAUUUGUUCGGGGGAAGAGUGGCGGCUGUAGAACCAGAGGGGAGUGCAGACUCAGGAUGCAUUUGGGGCUGAGGGGAAGCAGGAUGCAAAUGAGUUUCAGGUAUCCAAGCAUUUGGAUGCAGGCAGGGUCCUAGUGGCAGGGGCACACUGCUGUGUAUGUUAAAGUCAGGGUUUCCCAACCCUCGGCCCAGCGCACCCCUAGGUAAGGUUUAGUAAUUAUUUUAAGGGACCCCUAGGCCAAAAGAAAUACCUAACAGCUACAUUUAUUAAAUAGAUAAGUCCAAACAAACAAUUUAACUAUGUUCUAGCAAUUUAUAGUAGAUAUUUGGAAAAUAAUAUAUAUAAACUUAAAAUUUUUUUUCAUUAUGUUUUUAGGUAACUGUAAUUACUUACAGAUGGAAUGUGUGCCUCUUGGGCUCUCCUUAAAUCUUAGAAUCAGAUUGGAAACUGCCACCCCUGUUGCCUGUCCCACAUUGAUACUCACUCACACAGUAAUUGCUUUUUCAGUAACUGUCAGAAUCCUAGCUUUGCAGACAUCAAAUCAUGGAAAGGAAUGUAGCAAGAUAUGAGGUUAAAACCGUGAAGCGUCCAAAGACGUUGAGUAUCACUGUUUUCCUCACAAGUAAAAGGCAUCCUGCUGUGGCUGCAAGCUCACUAGGGGCGGGGGCGCCUCGGCACAGGCUGGAAGCUGCCGCUCCAUGCCCUUCCCUUUUCCCUCGGGGUCUGUUCUGUGGAUGUCCUCUCUUCCAGGCAGCAUGUUGGUGUGCAAGUCACCCCCACCCCUACUUUUAGGGAGGGCUCACUGGGUCUUGUGGCGCUCACUGUCGCCCUUGCAGCCCGACCGGCUUGCAUAGAGCAAGUGUCUCUUGAGGCCAUUUUGUUCUCGGCUUUGGUGCUUAAGAGGAUUUUUUUCUUUAUCCUUUGAUUUCAGCCACAUCACAGCUCAGGACCUGGCUCCAACUUCAUUACUUCCUUGUGAUGCAUGUUUCCCCUUCCUGUAUCUGGAGCAGGCUUAGUUAACUAAAUAGGGUGGCAGACUCUCAGGGCUCAUAGAAACACAGCUCACCACAAUCAGAGAGUGGUCUGCUCUCUGCACCCGUUUCCCUGCUGAUAUGACUUUGAAGG
Vicugna pacos (alpaca) is the source of this 5587-nucleotide non-coding RNA. NCBI's taxonomy places the organism in Eukaryota, Metazoa, Chordata, Mammalia, Artiodactyla, Camelidae. The record is from RefSeq and is a predicted model, not a curated record.